UGGCGAACGGGUGAGUAACACGUGAGUAACCUGCCCUUGACUUUGGGAUAACUUCAGGAAACUGGGGCUAAUACCGGAUAGGAGCUCCUGCUGCAUGGUGGGGGUUGGAAAGUUUCGGCGGUUGGGGAUGGACUCGCGGCUUAUCAGCUUGCUGGUGGGGUAGUGGCUUACCAAGGCUUUGACGGGUAGCCGGCCUGAGAGGGUGACCGGCCACAUUGGGACUGAGAUACGGCCCAG
This 237-nucleotide ribosomal RNA is filed under the name uncultured Actinomycetales bacterium. Its description in RNAcentral is "partial 16S ribosomal RNA". It matches the Rfam family "Bacterial small subunit ribosomal RNA", at positions 96 to 334 of the family's 1533-position model. The record is from RNAcentral. Lineage: Bacteria; Bacillati; Actinomycetota; Actinomycetes; Actinomycetales.